CACGAAAUACACUGUGCAGGUCAC
RNAcentral lists this microRNA (24 nucleotides) under Rosa chinensis. Its description in RNAcentral is "sRNA RchiOBHm_Chr4g0390775". Lineage: Eukaryota; Viridiplantae; Streptophyta; Magnoliopsida; Rosales; Rosaceae. The record is from RNAcentral.